RNAcentral lists this ribosomal RNA (253 nucleotides) under uncultured bacterium. Its description in RNAcentral is "partial 16S ribosomal RNA". It matches the Rfam family "Bacterial small subunit ribosomal RNA", at positions 524 to 776 of the family's 1533-position model. The record is from RNAcentral.
UACGUAGGGGGCAAGCGUUGUCCGGAUUUAUUGGGCGUAAAGAGCGUGUAGGCGGCCAGGUAGGUCCGUUGUGAAAACUGGAGGCUUAACCUCCAGCUGUCGAUGGAAACCAUCUGGCUAGAGUCCGGAAGAGGAGAGUGGAAUUCCUGGUGUAGCGGUGAAAUGCGUAGAGAUCCGGAGGAACACCGAAGGCGAAGGCAGUGUCCUGGCGAGUGACUGACGCUGAGGUGCGAAAGCCAGGGGAGCGAACGGG